GACGAACGCUGGCGGCGUGCCUAAUACAUGCAAGUAGAACGCUGAAGGAGGAGCUUGCUUCUCUGGAUGAGUUGCGAACGGGUGAGUAACGCGUAGGUAACCUGCCUGGUAGCGGGGGAUAACUAUUGGAAACGAUAGCUAAUACCGCAUAAUAGUUGAUGUUGCAUGACAUUUGCUUAAAAGGUGCAAUUGCAUCACUACCAGAUGGACCUGCGUUGUAUUAGCUAGUUGGUGGGGUAACGGCUCACCAAGGCGACGAUACAUAGCCGACCUGAGAGGGUGAUCGGCCACACUGGGACUGAGACACGGCCCAGACUCCUACGGGAGGCAGCAGUAGGGAAUCUUCGGCAAUGGACGGAAGUCUGACCGAGCAACGCCGCGUGAGUGAAGAAGGUUUUCGGAUCGUAAAGCUCUGUUGUAAGAGAAGAACGAGUGUGAGAGUGGAAAGUUCACACUGUGACGGUAUCUUACCAGAAAGGGACGGCUAACUACGUG
This 495-nucleotide ribosomal RNA is filed under the name uncultured bacterium. RNAcentral describes it as "partial 16S ribosomal RNA". It matches the Rfam family "Bacterial small subunit ribosomal RNA", at positions 28 to 507 of the family's 1533-position model. The record is from RNAcentral.